AGCAUCUACGAUGAUCGGAACCUUUUUUAUAAUGACUUCUUCCGUAGUUGACUCCAAACUGCUCUGCGUAGUCGCAUCCGAACCGCUUUCCGUAGUCGUUGAUACUUCGCUUUCCGUAGUCGUUGAUACUUCGCUUUCCGAGCAACAUCUGGAGGUGGUACGACGGUCACAGUCACCGUCGUCUGUAUCGUUGUGGAGCUGACAACCGUCGAUGUGGACGUGAUUCCGAUCGCAUUUCUGAUGGUGUUUCUAAGGUUCAGAUAUAGAUUGCCAAAGAAUCGAACAAAAGGACCUUGUGCUUGGCUUUCUCCAAUCAUUGAGGACUGGAAUUCCAGACGAGCGCAAUAUUCGGACUGGACUGCAGCGACUACAAAGACUUUCUGAGCUUGUCGACACCUAACGAUUCAUCCUUUUAUAGAAUCUAGAGAAAUCACCUUGUUAUUUGGUUUCGUUCGUACGACGAGUCUCUCCUGUACGGUGUAAUCAAGGAUUUAGGACGGCCGCAGGAUUUGGCAAAAAAAAAAAAGCGUUUAGGUACUGCAAUUAAAAUACAAAUUGGGAGUCGUAAACCUUAAGGGUCUCAAGUUCAAACGGCGCCAACGGAAAGAUUUCCUUUUUGGCCCAGCCGUUUGGUCUCGAGACCAGGUACAACGCUGCAUGCAGUAGUAAGAAGAAUUGAACACAACAAGAUGGAAAACCGCGCAUUGCCCUGCUGCCAUCUGUCUGUAAAUCGAGCAGUACCUGUGCCCGACCGAAGGAAGUUGUGUAAUAAUCCAAAGAGAUUACGAGUGUUCGAUUAGGUGGAAAAAGGAAUACGAUACGGUCAAUUCCCAAGGAAAAAGUUUGAACCUUCCCAUGUUUCAUGUAUAAUUUAGUACAUGAUUACAACUGUUGGUAUGCGAAUAGAGGGGGUGAAGCCUCGGAAAUUUCACACGUCGGACCUGCUGGACUCGAGAGUUAAAUAGCCAGUGAAACAUUAAAUGGAGAUCCGUUGUUUCAUUUGGCUGGGCUAAACGUCAGUUGACCGCAACAGAAAAAAUUAAUAAUAAGCAGAGACGUUCCUGACGAAGAUUAAGAAAAUCAACACAGCAGCAUCCGAUAAUUUAAAAAGGAAGAUAAAAUAACAUUUUACAACAAUCAAACAAAGGAAAAUUGGAAAAAGAACAAAGGGAGAACCCCCCGGUAACCCGUUACACGUUCAUUGCUGUAAACACCAAGACAAUUUGAAUCAAAAACAAUUGAUUUCAAUUUGUGAACUUUAAAUCGGCUGUGAUAUCAGCCUGGGAAUUCUCUGCGAUAUCAAAUUGACGUUGUCGAGAUGGAAAAGACGACUCGAUGAUGCUCGAAUGUUUGAUGAGGUGUGGGCUACCGGCCAAUUUAGCCGCACCGGACCUGAGGAGAUCGACGAAGGAAUCCAUCCACGAGGUCAAGAUCAUCGAUGUCUACAACAUCAAUAGCAUCUCGGUUUUCAGCUAAAUGUGCCACGUUUGAGGCCGGCCCUGAAUUCCGAGCACUCUCUUGUUCUUCCGGCGAUAAAUCCAACUCUAAAUGACGCUGCAUGGCCAUUAAAUCCAUAUCGUCAAUGUCGAUAACAUCCCGCGUGGGCAUUGCCGAUGGUUUCAACUGGCCAAAGUCGUCCACUUUGAAGGAAUUCUUAGAGAUUUCUGGUCCUCUUCGAUUUCUCCGUGCCGUUGCAACAUGCCUACACUGACGGUGUACGUCGGGCAUUUGGAAGCGAUUUCUGUCACGAUGUACUCCGAGUACAUUGUCUUUGUGGCCAAGGAAACGGACGUGGCUGUGGAUGUGACGGUCUGGUAAGCAGUGGAUCUCUCGGUCAGUGUCACGACGGCCACGCUGACCAACAAUGAAACAUCAACCGAUGUGGUGGUUUCUGUGACAGUUUCAGUCAGAAAUUCCCGCUCUGUUUGCGUCGUCCAUCUGAGCCAAGACAAAGACAAGACCGUCACAGGUUCGACGAAGGCCGGCUCACUUGCAGUGGACGUGCGUCGCUGAAAGAUUUGCGCGAAAUUGGCAGCCAAAGCGCCGAAAAAUCCCGCGUUUGUACUCUGAGCCCAACUGGAAUGGACGAAUAAGGUGAAACACAACGCCAGCACGUACCACUUGACCAUUGCGGAUGGAACCAUUUCUUUGAGGGAGUAUUGUGGCAGGUCAGUGAAUAACGGGGUCUAAAAUAAGCCGCUCAAGUGCGAAGCAUUUUGACUUCGUCAUUUUGCAGAUGGGGUUCACAUACCGCUACGUUGCAUACAGGUAAAUAUUGCCGAUGAACUUUGCUUAUUUACCUGUUAAAAUAAAUAACCAUUAAAGCCAUCAGGAAAAUUGAGCAGCCGCACCGAAAUGAAAAGUGUCUCGUGUUAUUGGUGAUUGCGUGUUUCACGCAUAAGAUACGCGCAUGCCCACACGUUUAACGGUUCGUUGCAUACCGUCAGCGACACUCACCUGAGGCCGGACCGAAACAGUUUUGUACGAUUAUCAACCCUAAGUAGAAAGAAGAGGGAGAGACGGACGCCAGAACAUUUGUAACAGGUACACCUUCAACCUGCGUGAGAACAUUUCGACUGCACCUUUUUUUUUCGAUCGAAAAAUCGAUUUAUUGUAGCUGCCGGAAAGGGAACAUCCUGCAACUGUGGUGG
This 2651-nucleotide long non-coding RNA is filed under the name Daphnia magna. RNAcentral's name for it is "uncharacterized LOC116927257, transcript variant X3". The record is from RNAcentral. Lineage: Eukaryota; Metazoa; Arthropoda; Branchiopoda; Diplostraca; Daphniidae.